AAUUUUGGACAAUGGGCGCAAGCCUGAUCCAGCCAUGCCGCGUGAGUGAUGAAGGCCCUAGGGUUGUAAAGCCCUUUCACCGGUGAAGAAAAUGACGGUACCUGGUGAAGAAGCCCCGGUUAACUUCUUGCCAGCAGCCGCGGUAAUACGAAGGGGGCUAGCGUUGUUCGGAUUUACUGGGCGAAAAGCGCACGUAGGCGGAUUGGUCAGUUAGGGGUGAAAUCCCAGGGCUUAACCCUGGAACUGCCUUUAAUACUGCCAGUCUUGAGUAUGGAAGAGGUGAGGGGAAUUGCGAGUGUAGAGGUGAAAUUCGUAGAUAUUCGCAGGAACACCAGUGGCGAAGGCGGCUCACCGGUCCAAUACUGACGCUGAGGUGCGAAAGCGUGGGGAGCAAACA
This 397-nucleotide ribosomal RNA is filed under the name uncultured bacterium. Its description in RNAcentral is "partial 16S ribosomal RNA". It matches the Rfam family "Bacterial small subunit ribosomal RNA", at positions 360 to 774 of the family's 1533-position model. The record is from RNAcentral.